RNAcentral lists this ribosomal RNA (1428 nucleotides) under metagenome. RNAcentral's name for it is "bacterial LSU rRNA". It matches the Rfam family "Bacterial large subunit ribosomal RNA", at positions 1465 to 2925 of the family's 2925-position model. The record is from RNAcentral.
UGUGGGGACGCAGAAGGAGAGCACUACCUGGAAUGGAAUCCAGGGGCAAGCACAGGAGGGGUACGGCUGGAAAAACCGCCGUGCAACCCAAAGGUGUGACGCAUACCGAACUAAAGUAGGGAAAUGUGUGAGCCGGCUGCCGAGAAAAGCCGCUAUUGUUUGUACUGUACCCGUACCGUAAACCGACACAGGUGGAUGAGGAGAGAAUCCUAAGGCCGACGGAAGAAGCAUUGCUAAGGAACUCGGCAAAAUGACCCUGUAACUUCGGGAGAAAGGGUGCCUCGAAAGAGGCCGCAGAGAAUAGGCCCAAGCAACUGUUUAGCAAAAACACAGGUCUAUGCAAAACCGCAAGGUGAAGUAUAUGGGCUGACGCCUGCCCGGUGCUGGAAGGUUAAGGGGAGAUGUCAGGAGACGAAGCAUCGAACUUAAGCCCCAGUAAACGGCGGCCGUAACUAUAACGGUCCUAAGGUAGCGAAAUUCCUUGUCGGGUAAGUUCCGACCCGCACGAAAGGCGUAAUGAUUUGGGCGCUGUCUCGGCAAUGCAUCCGGUGAAAUUGAAGUGCCAGUGAAGAUGCUGGCUACCCGCGCCAGGACGGAAAGACCCCAUGGAGCUUUACUCCAGCUUGAUACUGGGAUUCGGUAUUGUAUGUACAGGAUAGGUGGGAGGCUGAGAAAUGGUGACGCCAGUCGCCAUGGAGCCGCUGUUGGGAUACCACCCUUGCAGUACUGGAUUUCUAACCAGCAGCCGUGAUCCGGCUGGGGGACAAUGUCAGGUGGGGAGUUUGACUGGGGCGGUCGCCUCCGAAAGGGUAUCGGAGGCGCUCAAAGGUUCCCUCAGAAUGGUCGGAAACCAUUCGAAGAGUGCAAAGGCAGAAGGGAGCUUGACUGCGACACCGACGGGUGGGGCAGGUACGAAAGUAGGACUUAGUGAUCCGGUGGUAUUAAGUGGGAAUGCCAUCGCUCAACGGAUAAAAGCUACCCUGGGAUAACAGGCUUAUCACUCCCAAGAGUUCACAUCGACGGAGUGGUUUGGCACCUCGAUGUCGGCUCAUCGCAUCCUGGGGCUGUAGUAGGUCCCAAGGGUUGGGCUGUUCGCCCAUUAAAGCGGUACGCGAGCUGGGUUCAGGACGUCGUGAGACAGUUCGGUCCCUAUCCGGCGUGGGCGUAGGAUAUUUGAGAGGAGCUGACCUUAGUACGAGAGGACCGGGUUGGACUGACCUCUGGUGCACCGGUUGUCAUGCCAAUGGCACAGCCGGGUAGCCAAGUCGGGAAGGGAUUAACGCUGAAGGCAUCUAAGCGUGAAGCCCCCCUCAAGAUGAGAUAUCCCCCGCAUAAGCGGUAAGACCCCUUGAAGACGACGAGGUAGAUAGGGCAGAGGUGGAAGUGCAGUAAUGUAUGGAGCUGACUGCUACUAAUAGGUCGAAGGCC